Molecule: ribosomal RNA, 460 nt
Filed under: uncultured bacterium
Lineage: Bacteria
Description: partial 16S ribosomal RNA
Rfam family: Bacterial small subunit ribosomal RNA
Source: RNAcentral
CCUACGGGAGGCAGCAGUGAGGAAUAUUGGUCAAUGGACGAGAGUCUGAACCAGCCAAGUAGCGUGAAGGAUGACUGCCCUAUGGGUUGUAAACUUCUUUUAUAUGGGAAUAAAAUGUUCCACGUGUGGGAUUUUGUAUGUACCAUAUGAAUAAGGAUCGGCUAACUCCGUGCCAGCAGCCGCGGUAAUACGGAGGAUCCGAGCGUUAUCCGGAUUUAUUGGGUUUAAAGGGAGCGUAGGUGGAUUGUUAAGUCAGUUGUGAAAGUUUGCGGCUCAACCGUAAAAUUGCAGUUGAAACUGGCAGUCUUGAGUACAGUAGAGGUGGGCGGAAGGCGUGGUGUAGCGGUGAAAUGCUUAGAUAGCACGAAGAACUCCGAUUGCGAAGGCAGUUCACUGGACUGCAACUGACACUGAGGCUCGAAAGUGUGGGUAUCAAACAGGAUUAGAUACCCGAGUAGUC